AUCUACGGCCAUGCUACCCUGAACAAGCUCAAUCCCGUCUGAUCUCAGAAGCUAAGCAGGGUUGGUCCUGGUUAGUACUCGGAUGGGAGACCACCCAGGAACGAAGUGCUAUAGGCA
Molecule: ribosomal RNA, 117 nt
Organism: Pteropus vampyrus (large flying fox)
Lineage: Eukaryota; Metazoa; Chordata; Mammalia; Chiroptera; Pteropodidae
Source: Ensembl